UAUUUAAAAAAAUCAAAAUAUAGUGCACUUGAAAUGGGAAUGUCCCACAGGCUUAUGUUGUACAGACAAUAAGUAGUGUCAUUCACAAUUCAAACUCUGAUUCCAGUGAUUCACAUGUUAAUCAGGUUACAUUUAUCAUUCAUUAAUCAAUUGAUCUGAGCUUAUAGUUUGACAUUGUAAGAAUUUAGAAAAAAUAGAUUUAAAAAAAUUAGUCCAAACACUUGAAAAACAAAUUAUUUUCUACAGAGACAGAUGUUCUGAGCACCCUUUAGUGAUCACCUUGGACAUGUUAACAUCUUGAAGCUUUCUCCUCAUUAAUAAAAUAGAGUUUAGAGGAUUAAAAAACCCACAUAAAUAUCUUAGCAUAGUUUCUGGUGUAUAAUGAAGCAUAUUGCACUUAAUGGUAAUAAUUUUUUAAAUGAUUACUGUAUUUCAGACAAUAUCAAUUUUUUUCCUCCUAGGUGGAUCCUGAAGGGUUUGCUUAUCUUAUUUUUAUUUUUUUUUUUUUUUUUUUUUUUAGAACUUACAACUGGAGAAGACAUUUGUUAAAACCACCAAAAUAAUGAUGCGUUUUAUAGAUAGUGGUUGUUAAUGUUACCUCCCCAUUAAAAACAAAACAAAACAAAACACUAAUGGGUAAUAUGUGGAAAUUUAUUACCAUAUAUUGAAUUGAAAUAUCUUGAAUUAAUAUAAGACUGUUACUGGAGAGGUAAAUCAUUCUUGUCCAUUUGAAACCCUUGUAAACUAGAAAUUAAAAAAAUUAAAUAUUUACUGUAAAAGGAAAUCGGACUUAGUGUUUUUUGCUAUGUUUUUAAAAAAUUAUUCUUACUGAGGCUUGUUAUAAGUUUGGCAUCCACAGCAUCUUGGAAAAAUAUUGUUGAACCUGUAAAUCAUUUUGAAAAACAACGCUUACUUGACUUAUAUCUAUAAAAAGGAUGUCAGCAAAUUACACGCAGAAAACACACUAACCUAAAGUAGUUUGAAAAUUGGUUAGGUAGUCUUAUGAAAGGCUUGUCAAAAAUACUGUUGUAACUAUAGCGCUGCUAACAUCAUUAAUUGGGAAACAUUCAUCCGUAUGAGCCCUAUUUUGGAUAUGUGGUAUACUAAAGUGUAUGUGGGGAUAGAGUUGUAUGGAUAGUAUCAUUACUGAACCCAGUAGAAAGAAUGGCCUGUAGUGGGUAUUUUAUUUAUCUCCUUUUCUCAACCUUCAUUUUGAUUUCUUUUCCAUCAUGUGAGUAUUUAUGUUUUUUUUCAGGAGACAAUGCCUGAAAAAUAUGCUAGCAUAAGGCCAUAGAUCUCCCAUUCUUCUCUUUUGUCCCACGACAUCUCUCAUCUUUGAUUUUGAUAGCCUUCUAUUUGGUUUAUUGUGGGUAAUUUGGCUUUUCCAGUCAUGGAGGUCUUUGGAAAUUAAACUUAGUAUACUCGUAUUGCAGAUUAAAGACAGAAGAGCCACUCUUGGCCGAGCUUUCUUUUCUCUUUGCUUUGAGAAAUAUAUAACAAAGCAAGAUUGUUUCUUUUUAGACUGUAGAAUCCAUCAUUCUACUCCCCUACCCCUUCAGUUGCUGUCUUGUUGGUAGCACAUGCCCUGAGGCCCCCAAAUUAAAUAACUCCACUUUAACCAACCAUUGUGCAAUCUUAAAGAUUUUCAACUUCUCAUGUAACAGAGUGGUCUUUCUCACUUGCCUCACUUUUAAGGAGUUCUAGUCUGUUACCUUGUAGCCCCACUCAAGGUAACAACUAACUUUUUCUUUUCUCUUUUCUUUUUUUUUUCUUUUUUUUUUUU
Molecule: long non-coding RNA, 1783 nt
Filed under: Canis lupus familiaris (dog)
Lineage: Eukaryota; Metazoa; Chordata; Mammalia; Carnivora; Canidae
Description: lncRNA (ENSCAFG00030016182.1)
Source: RNAcentral